RNAcentral lists this ribosomal RNA (429 nucleotides) under Verrucomicrobiota bacterium. RNAcentral describes it as "Verrucomicrobia bacterium partial 16S ribosomal RNA". It matches the Rfam family "Bacterial small subunit ribosomal RNA", at positions 355 to 776 of the family's 1533-position model. Lineage: Bacteria; Pseudomonadati; Verrucomicrobiota. The record is from RNAcentral.
UAGGGAAUCUUCCGCAAUGGACGAAAGUCUGACGGAGCAACGCCGCGUGAGUGAAGAAGGAUUUCGGUUCGUAAAACUCUGUUGUUAGGGAAGAAAAAAUGUAUAGUAACUAUAUACAAAAGAGACGGUACCUAACCAGAAAGCCACGGCUAACUACGUGCCAGCAGCCGCGGUAAUACGUAGGUGGCAAGCGUUGUCCGGAAUUAUUGGGCGUAAAGCGCGCGCAGGUGGUUUAGAAAGUCUGAUGUGAAAGCCCACGGCUCAACCGUGGAGGGUCAUUGGAAACUAAUAAACUUGAGUGCAGGAGAGAAAAGUGGAAUUCCUAGUGUAGCGGUGAAAUGCGUAGAGAUUAGAAGGAACACCGGUGGCGAAAGCGGCUUUUUGGCCUGCAACUGACACUGAGGCGCGAAAGCGUGGGGAGCAAACAGG